This 230-nucleotide ribosomal RNA is filed under the name uncultured bacterium. RNAcentral's name for it is "partial 16S ribosomal RNA". It matches the Rfam family "Bacterial small subunit ribosomal RNA", at positions 524 to 749 of the family's 1533-position model. The record is from RNAcentral.
UACAGAGGGUGCUAGCGUUAAUCGGAUUUACUGGGCGUAAAGCGUGCGUAGGCGGUUUGAUAAGUCGAUUGUGAAAGCCCUGGGCGUCAACCUACGGAAUUGCGGUCGAUACUGUCAGACUAGAAAACGGUAGAGGGAGGUGGAACUCCAGGUGUAGCGGUGAAAUGCGUAGAUAUCUGGAAGAACACCGAUGGCGAAGGCAGCCUCCUGGGGCCUGUUUUUGACGCUGA